RNAcentral lists this ribosomal RNA (305 nucleotides) under uncultured bacterium. RNAcentral describes it as "bacterial SSU rRNA". It matches the Rfam family "Bacterial small subunit ribosomal RNA", at positions 336 to 639 of the family's 1533-position model. The record is from RNAcentral.
CUCCUACGGGACGCAGCAGUGAGGAAUAUUGGUCAAUGGGCGGGAGCCUGAACCAGCCAAGUCGCGUGAGGGAUGACGGCCCUAUGGGUUGUAAACCUCUUUUGCCGGGGAGCAAAGUGCCGCACGUGUGCGGUUUGGAGAGUACCCGGAGAAAAAGCAUCGGCUAACUCCGUGCCAGCAGCCGCGGUAAUACGGAGGAUGCGAGCGUUAUCCGGAUUUAUUGGGUUUAAAGGGUGCGCAGGCGGGCUGUUAAGCCGGCGGUAAAAAUUCAGGGCUCAACCCUGUCGAGCCGUCGGAACUGGCAG